RNAcentral lists this ribosomal RNA (82 nucleotides) under Anaerolineaceae bacterium. Its description in RNAcentral is "partial 23S ribosomal RNA". It matches the Rfam family "Bacterial large subunit ribosomal RNA", at positions 1974 to 2055 of the family's 2925-position model. Lineage: Bacteria; Bacillati; Chloroflexota; Anaerolineae; Anaerolineales; Anaerolineaceae. The record is from RNAcentral.
GGGUAAGUUCCGACCCGCACGAAAGGUGUAACAACUAGAACAGUGUCUCAACAAAGGACCCGGCGAAAUUGAAAUAGCCGUG